This 240-nucleotide ribosomal RNA is filed under the name uncultured bacterium. Its description in RNAcentral is "partial 16S ribosomal RNA". The stretch from base 1 to 208 matches the Rfam family "Bacterial small subunit ribosomal RNA", at positions 326 to 535 of the family's 1533-position model. The record is from RNAcentral.
ACGCUCGACACCUACGGGAUGCAGCAGUAGGGAAUCUUCCACAAUGGGCGCAAGCCUGAUGGAGCAACACCGCGUGAGUGAAGAAGGGUUUCGGCUCGUAAAGCUCUGUUGUUGGAGAAGAACGUGCGUGAGAGUAACUGUUCACGCAGUGACGGUAUCCAACCAGAAAGUCACGGCUAACUACGUGCCAGCACGCCGGUACGGUAACUCUGGACGGGCCGGGUCGUCGGACGGAACGGC